UCACACCUUACGGUGGCAGUCUCGCUAGAGUUCCCGGCAUCACCCGAUGGCAACUAACGAUAAGGGUUGCGCUCGUUAUGGCACUUAAGCCGACACCUCACGGCACGAGCUGACGACAACCAUGCAGCACCUACACAAUCGCCAUUGCUGGAAGUAAUGUUUCCACUACCGUCGAUUGCAUUUCAAGCCCGGGUAAGGUUCCUCGCGUAUCAUCGAAUUAAACCACAUGUUCCUCCGCUUGUGCGGGCCCCCGUCAAUUCCUUUGAGUUUCAUUCUUGCGAACGUACUCCCCAGGUGGAAUACUUAACGCUUUCGCUGUGCCACUCGCUGUAUAUCGCGAACAGCUAGUAUUCAUCGUUUACUGCGUGGACUAC
RNAcentral lists this unclassified non-coding RNA (374 nucleotides) under uncultured Paludibacteraceae bacterium. RNAcentral describes it as "contains 16S-23S intergenic spacer region". The record is from RNAcentral. Lineage: Bacteria; Pseudomonadati; Bacteroidota; Bacteroidia; Bacteroidales; Paludibacteraceae.